This 2358-nucleotide long non-coding RNA is filed under the name Salmo trutta (river trout). RNAcentral describes it as "lncRNA (ENSSTUG00000019386.1)". The record is from RNAcentral. Lineage: Eukaryota; Metazoa; Chordata; Actinopteri; Salmoniformes; Salmonidae.
AUGGUGUGGGGGUUACCUUGUUGGGGAAUACAGUAUCUAUCUCCUCCUGCAGUUUGGUCAUGGUGUGGGGGUUACCUUGUUGGGGAACACAGUAUCUAUCUCCUCCUGCAGUUUGGUCAUGGUGUGGGGGUUACCUUGUUGGGGAACACAGUAUCUAUCUCCUCCUGCAGUUUGGUCAUGGUGUGGGGGUUACCUUGUUGGGGAACACAGUAUCUAUCUCCUCCUGCAGUUUGGUCAUGGUGUGGGGGUUACCUUGUUGGGGAACACAGUAUCUAUCUCCUCCUGCAGUUUGGUCAUGGUGUGGGGGUUACCUUGUUGGGGAACACAGUAUCUAUCUCCUCCUGCAGUUUGGUCAUGGUGUGGGGGUUACCUUGUUGGGGAACACAGUAUCUAUCUCCUUCUGCAGUUUGGUCAUGGUGUGGGGGUUACCUUGUUGGGGAACACAGUAUCUAUCUCCUCCUGCAGUUUGGUCAUGGUGUGGGGGUUACCUUGUUGGGGAAUACAGUAUCUAUCUCCUCCUGCAGUUUGGUCAUGGUGUGGGGGUUACCUUGUUGGGGAAUACAGUAUCUAUCUCCUCCUGCAGUUUGGUCAUGGUGUGGGGGUUACCUUGUUGGGGAACACAGUAUCUAUCUCCUCCUGCAGUUUGGUCAUGGUGUGGGGGUUACCUUGUUGGGGAAUACAGUAUCUAUCUCCUCCUGCAGUUUGGUCAUGGUGUGGGGGUUACCUUGUUGGGGAACACAGUAUCUAUCUCCUCCUGCAGUUUGGUCAUGGUGUGGGGGUUACCUUGUUGGGGAACACAGUAUCUAUCUCCUCCUGCAGUUUGGUCAUGGUGUGGGGGUUACCUUGUUGGGGAACACAGUAUCUAUCUCCUCCUGCAGUUUGGUCAUGGUGUGGGGGUUACCUUGUUGGGGAACACAGUAUCUAUCUCCUUCUGCAGUUUGGUCAUGGUGUGGGGGUUACCUUGUUGGGGAACACAGUAUCUAUCUCCUCCUGCAGUUUGGUCAUGGUGUGGGGGUUACCUUGUUGGGGAACACAGUAUCUAUCUCCUCCUGCAGUUUGGUCAUGGUGUGGGGGUUACCUUGUUGGGGAACACAGUAUCUAUCUCCUCCUGCAGUUUGGUCAUGGUGUGGGGGUUACCUUGUUGGGGAACACAGUAUCUAUCUCCUCCUGCAGUUUGGUCAUGGUGUGGGGGUUACCUUGUUGGGGAACACAGUAUCUAUCUCCUCCUGCAGUUUGGUCAUGGUGUGGGGGUUACCUUGUUGGGGAACACAGUAUCUAUCUCCUCCUGCAGUUUGGUCAUGGUGUGGGGGUUACCUUGUUGGGGAACACAGUAUCUAUCUCCUCCUGCAGUUUGGUCAUGGUGUGGGGGUUACCUUGUUGGGGAACACAGUAUCUAUCUCCUCCUGCAGUUUGGUCAUGGUGUGGGGGAUACCUUGUUGGGGAACACAGUAUCUAUCUCCUCCUGCAGUUUGGUCAUGGUGUGGGGGAUACCUUGUUGGGGAACACAGUAUCUAUCUCCUCCUGCAGUUUGGUCAUGGUGUAGGGGUUACCUUGUUGGGGAACACAGUAUCUAUCUCCUCCUGCAGUUUGGUCAUGGUGUGGGGGUUACCUUGUUGGGGAACACAGUAUCUAUCUCCUCCUGCAGUUUGGUCAUGGUGUGGGGGAUACCUUGUUGGGGAACACAGUAUCUAUCACCUCCUGCAGUUUGGUCAUGGUGUGGGGGAUACCUUGUUGGGGAACACAGUAUCUAUCUCCUCCUGCAGUUUGGUCAUGGUGUGGGGGUUACCUUGUUGGGGAACACAGUAUCUAUCUCCUCCUGCAGUUUGGUCAUGGUGUGGGGGUUACCUUGUUGGGGAACACAGUAUCUAUCUCCUCCUGCAGUUUGGUGAUGGUGUGGGGGUUACCUUGUUGGGGAACACAGUAUCUACCUCCUCCUGCAGUUUGGUCAUGGUGUGGGGGUUACCUUGUUGGGGAACACAGUAUCUAUCUCCUCCUGCAGUUUGGUCAUGGUGUGGGGGUUACCUUGUUGGGGAACACAGUAUCUAUCUCCUCCUGCAGUUUGGUCAUGGUGUGGGGGUUACCUUGUUGGGGAACACAGUAUCUAUCUCCUCCUGCAGUUUGGUCAUGGUGUGGGGGUUACCUUGUUGGGGAACACAGUAUCUAUCUCCUCCUGCAGUUUGGUCAUGGUGUGGGGGUUACCUUGUUGGGGAACACAGUAUCUAUCUCCUCCUGCAGUUUGGUCAUGGUGCGGGGGUUACCUUGUUGGGGAACACAGUAUCUAUCUCCUCCUGCAGUUUGGUCAUGGUGUGGGGGUUACCUUGUUGGGGAACACAGUAUCUAUCACCUCCUGCAGUUUGA